RNAcentral lists this ribosomal RNA (456 nucleotides) under uncultured bacterium. RNAcentral describes it as "bacterial SSU rRNA". It matches the Rfam family "Bacterial small subunit ribosomal RNA", at positions 28 to 485 of the family's 1533-position model. The record is from RNAcentral.
GAUGAACGCUGGCGGCGUGCUUAACACAUGCAAGUCGAACGGGAAUUACUUUAUUGAAACUUCGGUCGAUUUAAUUUAAUUCUAGUGGCGGACGGGUGAGUAACGCGUGGGUAACCUGCCUUGUACAGGGGGAUAACAGUCAGAAAUGACUGCUAAUACCGCAUAAGCGCACAGGACCGCAUGGUCCGGUGUGAAAAACUCCGGUGGUAUAAGAUGGACCCGCGUUGGAUUAGCUAGUUGGCAGGGUAACGGCCUACCAAGGCGACGAUCCAUAGCCGGCCUGAGAGGGUGAACGGCCACAUUGGGACUGAGACACGGCCCAGACUCCUACGGGAGGCAGCAGUGGGGAAUAUUGCACAAUGGGGGAAACCCUGAUGCAGCGACGCCGCGUGAAGGAAGAAGUAUCUCGGUAUGUAAACUUCUAUCAGCAGGGAAGAAAAUGACGGUACCUGACUA